Molecule: long non-coding RNA, 202 nt
Filed under: Lathyrus oleraceus (garden pea)
Lineage: Eukaryota; Viridiplantae; Streptophyta; Magnoliopsida; Fabales; Fabaceae
Description: Pisum sativum (pea) long non-coding RNA (PSAT_LNC014036)
Source: RNAcentral
AACAUGGUUUUCAAAGCCAAUACAAUUGAACUUACUCAAGAAAAAGAGACUGGUAAAAACCCUAUUUAUGAUUUAAUAGACAAAGAAUAUUCCACGAUGGCUGAGAAAGUUAGAUCAGAUAGCCAAAUGUUUGAUUGCAUAUAUGAUUAUGAGCCUUUGGGAUUUGGAAAGUAUCUAUCAGUUUUAGCCAAGAAGAUUCAAG